CCUCAUCCCCUGCUGAAGACUGAAGAAUAGUAUCAGGUAUUGACUGUGGAAAUAGAUGGUGACCCCAAUUAGCUAAAUCUUCUUCUUUGGGCGUCCCCACCUUGAAAAAGGUUUCAAAUUUUUGAGUCCUCAAAAUAUAUCAUGUUAAUACAGAUUCUCAUUGAAGAAUUUUCCAACCUGUUUCUCCGAGCUUUUUAAUCUAUGUAAGCACCCAGAAACACUAGCAAAUCCCCCUAUAUCUUCUUCCUCAGAUUGAGAUGAUGGACUUCCAUAGCUUGUUUCAAGUUUGGCAUCCACUUGCAUCACAUAGUUUUGGCAACGAUUGCAGCUCAUCUUCUCAUGAAUUUCAGAUCUGCAUUGGUAUUACAACUGGGAAAAAUAAACCGCAAUGAAACUUAAGAUCAAAUGUCCAAAU
This 415-nucleotide long non-coding RNA is filed under the name Coffea arabica (coffee). RNAcentral describes it as "long non-coding RNA (CARA_LNC001630)". Lineage: Eukaryota; Viridiplantae; Streptophyta; Magnoliopsida; Gentianales; Rubiaceae. The record is from RNAcentral.